CCUUCGGCAAUACAGGAACCCGUCAGAUGUGUCCAGGGACCACAACGGAAAGCAAGCAAGCACGUCAGUCUCGCUCACACCACCUUCGGACGCUGGGCCUUCCUGACCACAGGUGGCCCUAUCUCGGCAUCUUUAAGUUGGCUAACUAACACAUUGGCUCGGCGCAACGGCAUUAAAAGAGAACCUAACCGAUACUAACCCCUAGAGCCUGCCUUUCCUGCCACACACGGAGGUGACCCCCAGCACAACGGUGUCCCCACCUACAGACUCCCCACCGCCAAGCCUCUGGAAGGGCACGCGGCCCCAGCCUGCACGGCUGAGCUGACCUGGACUCGACCUCCCCGCGGCUCCUUGUUCCUCCCGUCCUGCCUCGUCCCCCUCCCGUCCUGCCCCGUCCCCCUCCCGCCCUGCCCCGUCCCCCCCCCGUCCUGCCCCGUCCCCCUCCUGCCCUGCCCUGUGCCCCUCCCGUCCUGCCUCGUCUCCCCCGUCCUGCCUCGUCUCCCCCGCCCUGCCUCGUCCCCCUCCCGCCCUGCCCUGUGCCCCUCCCGUCCUGCCUCGUCUCCCCCGCCCUGCCUCGUCCCCCUCCCGCCCUGCCCUGUGCCCCUCCCAUCCUGCCUCGUCUCCCCCGUCCUGCCUCGUCCCCCUCCCGUCCUGCCUCGUCCCGCCUCCCAUGCGUGGCCGCAUGAGCCGCGGGGCGGAAUGGACGCCACGUCACUGUGUCCAUCAGGGAGCCCGGGAGGACACUGUGCAGGACGGACGGGUGACUCUCGGGCAUUCUGAGACCCCAGGCAGAGAAAACUGCGAGGCGCCCACCUGCUGAAACUGGCCCUCGGAGACGCCGUCGCGGUAGAAGAUGAUGCGCGUGGGCUUGAAGCGCGUGGACUUGUAGAACUGGAUGAGGAGCUCGCGGACCAUGGUGGCCAGGUCCUGGAUGAUCUCCUGCCGGUGCUGCUGAACCCGCACGGUGGCGCAGUAGCGGUUGGGGUGCGCGUCCAUGCUGCCCACGACCUGCCGGGCGAGGAGGAGCGCUGCUCUGGCUGCGCCCGGAGCGCGGCGGGGACACGUCGCCACCCCAGCCCACGGCGCGGGAAGGGGCAGUGGCCUGUCGGAGGCGAUCUGCUGCCUGGGGGGGUUUUGGGACGUGGGCAGUAACGUUUAUAAACAGGACAAAGAGUAGCAGCUGCUGAGAGUGUCUAACAAAACGUGGGCAAUUGGGCGCCUGGGGGGCUCAGUCGGUGGAGCGUCUGCCUUCGGCUCGGGUCAUGAUCCCGGGGUCCUGGGAUCGAGCCCCACAUCGGGCUCCCUGCUCGGCGGGAGGCCUGCUUCUCCCUCUCCCACUCCCCCUGCUUGUGUUCCCUCUCUCGCUGGGUCUCUCUCUGUCAAAUAAAUAAAUAAAAUCUUUAAAAAAAAAAAAAAGUGGGCAAUUGGGUGCCUGGGGGGCUCAGUCGUUACGUGUCUGCCUUCGGCUCAGGUCAUGAUCCCAGAAUCCUGGGAUCGAGCCCCGCAUCGGGCUCCCUGCUUGGCGGGAAGCCUGCUUCUCCCUCUCCCACUCCCCCUGCUUGUGUUCCCUCUCUUGCUGUCUGUCUCUCUGUCAAAUAUAUAAAUAAAAAAUCUUUAAAAAAAAAAAAAGAAAGAAAGAAAAAUUUUGAGUUCUGGGGCACCUG
Mirounga angustirostris (Northern elephant seal) is the source of this 1664-nucleotide long non-coding RNA. RefSeq lists it as uncharacterized. The record is from RefSeq and is a predicted model, not a curated record. The transcript has 2 exons. NCBI's taxonomy places the organism in Eukaryota, Metazoa, Chordata, Mammalia, Carnivora, Phocidae.